Molecule: long non-coding RNA, 967 nt
Filed under: Homo sapiens (human)
Lineage: Eukaryota; Metazoa; Chordata; Mammalia; Primates; Hominidae
Description: HSALNT0235768
Source: RNAcentral
AAGGGGCAGCCUCAGGCAGGUUGGUGUAAUCUCGCAGGGAGUCAGUCAUGUCAUCCUGAAGCCGUCAGGAGGGAGAGAAAACCAAGAAGUUUUAAAGAAAGGAGGGGGAGAGUCCCCUGGGCCCAGUCUCCCCAGGUGUGGUAGCUCCCGCACCCUGAAGAGCCGGCGUUUCCCAAGCAGAGGGCUCCCAGCCUGGGAAGGAGGGAACCCUGCCCUGCCUUCCGGAGGAAGGGGCUGCUUUGUAAAAUUCUCUCUUUGCAUCCGCCCUGCAAACCACUAGGGCCUCAGGAUCCUCAGCUGCAGCCUGAUGAGUGUGUUGUCGUUCCUACCUUAUUCCGCUACAGAAAGAUCAAUGAGUUCAUGCGGUUAAAGAACUUAGAGUUUGGGAGGCUGAGGUGGAUGGAUCACUUGAGGUCAGGAGUUGGAGACCAGCCUGGCCAACAUGGUGAAACCCCCGUCUCUACUAAAAAUACAAAAACUAGCUGGGCGUGGUGGCGGGCGCCUGUAGUCCCAGCUACUCGGGAGGCUGAGGCAGGAGAAUCGCUCGAACUCGGGAGGUGGAGGUUGCAGUGAGCCAGGAUUGCACCACUGCACUCCAGCCUGGACAACAGAGCAAGAUUCUGUCUCUAAACAAAUAAAUAAAUAAAUAAGAACUUAGCACAGGGUCAUGGCGCAUCGGAGCAAUCACUCACUGCUGGUCUCCCAAAGACACAGAAGACCUUCCCCAGCUGCUGGGGGUCAAACACGGAACAGGCAGUGCAGUGACCACACGGCGGACUUGCUGUGGCCACCGAUGCAAGACGGGUCCUCGCCCGGCCACAGUGAGCGCAGGGCCAGUGCCGCCGGGGGGAACCUGAGGCUGGCCGCACCGGAGACUCGAAGAGGAGGACAGCUGACUGCAGCCCCCGCCGUCUGCACCCCAGCCCUCCCCGCUCCCCAGGGCUGCAGCCCCCGCCGUCUGCACCCC